Small nucleolar RNA from Cyprinodon variegatus (sheepshead minnow), 128 nucleotides. Lineage: Eukaryota; Metazoa; Chordata; Actinopteri; Cyprinodontiformes; Cyprinodontidae. The record is from Ensembl.
AUGCACAAUUCAUUGUCCUGCUCUUCACUGUUAAGAGUUGUGAUAUUUCUGUUGUGCUAGAAAAAGCUGGAGGUAAAUUAGCAGAGCAGCUACUUGGUGCUGUUCCUGCCAGUCCCCUUCAAACAAUC